Molecule: long non-coding RNA, 356 nt
Organism: Tachysurus fulvidraco (yellow catfish)
Lineage: Eukaryota; Metazoa; Chordata; Actinopteri; Siluriformes; Bagridae
Exons: 4
Source: RefSeq, a predicted model, not a curated record
UGUGUGUGUGCCUGCGUGUAUGUGUGUGCGCGUGUGUCUGUGUGCGUCUCUGCCCUUCUCCCCUCGGGAUGCACUUGUUUCCAGGGCUGGUCCUCCCAACUUCAGACUAAAUCAGACCUUCAGACAGAUUAGAUAGGUUCGUUGCUGACCACAAAAGAAGAAAUCAAACAUCAGCAAAAAUCAUCUGGACUCCAUAUUUGAGGUAUGCUCUUCUUUUGAAAAAGGGCAUUUUUCCAAGACAUCUGGAAACACGACCACUUUACGUCGUGGUGUAGCGAUUUUGGCUCGUGAAGCAAGUAUAAACUGUACUGAAAAUGAAAGUCAGCAGCUCCAUUUUGUGACGAGUGAAAACUAAA